This is a long non-coding RNA of Culex pipiens pallens (northern house mosquito), 1307 nucleotides long. RefSeq lists it as uncharacterized. The record is from RefSeq and is a predicted model, not a curated record. The transcript is spliced from 4 exons. NCBI's taxonomy places the organism in Eukaryota, Metazoa, Arthropoda, Insecta, Diptera, Culicidae.
GUCUAUCCUUCUCACGUCAGUAGGAGCGAGUUGGAUGGACUAUUUGUUUACACUUCGGCUUUAGCCUCAUAACAUUGUUUAGCUUGAAUUUACUUCUAAAAUGUAUUCAAAAUAAUUUGCCAUCGUUUUAAAAAUAUAACAAGAGACACAUAUUUUUCUGCCUAUUCACAUUGUUUGGCUUAAAGUAGCCUACAGACUUUUUCUAAAAAAAAAAAAUAUCUGCCAGACUUGCAGACUUUGCUGACACGAUGAACUGGAUGAACCCAGCCGCGGCGUCCGCUACGGCCGGGAAACGUCAAAACAAACCGCAAUCUCAACAAAGCAAUCGAAAAAUCUUGUGCGCAUCAGUUUUUUUAUGGUUUUUGUAGUUUAUCUUCAAAAAAAGGACUUUUCACUGCUUAGUGAAGUGAUUAGGAGGGGUUUCCGAGAGCUGUUUUUAAUGUUUGCUGUUUGCGAUUUCGACAGGCUGUAGUCCCGUGUCACGAACAUUUCGAGGGUUUGGUGAGCGAUCAGCGCACUCUUCCUGGAACCGACGUUGCUGAUGCUCAAAGAUUCGCCCGGAAACAGCAAAGUCCUAGAAGUCCAACGAAAACACAACAUACCGGUUGAGAUAAUGGCCAAGUUGCAGGUUUACUUCCGGAUUUGUCGAGCCUCCUUUAUUCGCUACCACUGCAGCCACCAGUUUAAGGGUUAUGACAAAUCAUCAACAUCCUGGACAGUAGUCGCUGUAAAUUCCUACUUUGGCAUUGAACCAACAAUUAGUCAACUUUCCUGUCGUGUACCGCAAGGACGGGUAACGACAAAGUACGACAAAUCUGAAAACGAACGGAACGUUCGGAUAGUCCAGUAGCGUGCACACCAUCAAAAUGGAGGACUGGUUUGGUGGUCAGAAGGCUCGCGCCGGAAGUCAAUCGUAGGACCUCCCUGUACGUCAUCGGGGACCAGAUCUUACGACGUCUUCGGCGUCAGUAACACCUGCAGAGUUAAUUAAGGCCACGUCCGUUCUUUUCUUACCCAGGCAUAAUUAGUUUAACUGGUGGAGAACAAACCUAAGGACAACCUGCUGCUGAAGAACUAAGUUUUCUCGAGCUUUCAGAACCGCACGCUGGACGACAUAUCGGCAUGUACUCUGUACAGCACAUUAAUUUGAAGGUGCAGCAUUUCUACAGUAGUAUCCUUGUAAGUGUGUUCCCCAGUCUUAAUGUCACUUUAAUAAUCAAUCUGAUUUAUAGUUGAAUUUGGAUUUCAUUGCUCCGUUGAAUCUUGAAUCUGAAUAUCGAUGUUUGUGUGCUCACUUGUAGCAUCAA